AGCUCCAAUAGCGUAUAUUAAAGUUGUUGCAGUUAAAAAGCUCGUAGUUGGAUUUCUGGCGUGAGGUGCUUGACCCGCCGCGGUUACGCGUGUGAGUGUCGGUGUGCCUCGGCCAUCCUUCUAGAAACUGGCUCUGCCCUUCAUUGGGUUGGGGUCAGGAUCUGGAUCUUUUACUUUGAAAAAAUUAGAGUGUUUAAAGCAAGCUUUGCGUGAAUACAUUAGCAUGGAAUAAUAACUUAGGACUUCGGUUCUAUUUUGUUGGUUUCUAGGACUGAAGUAAUGAUUGAUAGGGAUAGUUGGGGGUGCUAGUAUUCAGCGGCCAGAGGUGAAAUUCUUGGAUUCGCUGAAGACUAACUUAUGCGAAAGCAUUCACCAAGGAUGUCUUCUUUAAUCAAGAACG
This 400-nucleotide ribosomal RNA is filed under the name phytoplankton environmental sample. Its description in RNAcentral is "partial small subunit ribosomal RNA". It matches the Rfam family "Eukaryotic small subunit ribosomal RNA", at positions 587 to 985 of the family's 1831-position model. The record is from RNAcentral.